This 578-nucleotide ribosomal RNA is filed under the name Enterococcus faecium. RNAcentral's name for it is "partial 23S ribosomal RNA". It matches the Rfam family "Bacterial large subunit ribosomal RNA", at positions 519 to 1097 of the family's 2925-position model. The record is from RNAcentral. Lineage: Bacteria; Bacillati; Bacillota; Bacilli; Lactobacillales; Enterococcaceae.
AAGCACCCCGGAAGGGGAGUGAAAUAGAACCUGAAACCGUGUGCCUACAACAAGUCAAAGCCCGUUAAUGGGUGAUGGCGUGCCUUUUGUAGAAUGAACCGGCGAGUUACGAUUGCAUGCGAGGUUAAGUUGAAGAGACGGAGCCGCAGCGAAAGCGAGUCUGAAUAGGGCGUUUGAGUAUGUAGUCGUAGACCCGAAACCAUGUGAUCUACCCAUGUCCAGGUUGAAGGUGCGGUAAAACGCACUGGAGGACCGAACCCACGUACGUUGAAAAGUGCGGGGAUGAGGUGUGGGUAGCGGAGAAAUUCCAAACGAACUUGGAGAUAGCUGGUUCUCUCCGAAAUAGCUUUAGGGCUAGCCUCGGAAUUGAGAAUGAUGGAGGUAGAGCACUGUUUGGACUAGGGGCCCAUCUCGGGUUACCGAAUUCAGAUAAACUCCGAAUGCCAUUCAUUCAUAUCCGGGAGUCAGACUGUGAGUGAUAAGAUCCAUAGUCGAAAGGGAAACAGCCCAGACCACCAGCUAAGGUCCCAAAAUAUAUGUUAAGUGGAAAAGGAUGUGGGGUUGCACAGACAACUAGG